RNAcentral lists this small RNA (18 nucleotides) under Arabidopsis thaliana (thale cress). RNAcentral's name for it is "Ath_wt_01262". The record is from RNAcentral. Lineage: Eukaryota; Viridiplantae; Streptophyta; Magnoliopsida; Brassicales; Brassicaceae.
CGACGCAUGCGCCCGCCG